AUAAAGGUGUCUUUAGACACCACACCUUUAUCUUUGAAAUUGUAUU
Non-coding RNA from Picea glauca (white spruce), 46 nucleotides. Lineage: Eukaryota; Viridiplantae; Streptophyta; Pinopsida; Pinales; Pinaceae. The record is from Rfam.